GCCAUAAUAGCUCAGUGGUAGAGCAGAGGACUGAAAAUCCUUGUGUCGCUAGUUCAAUUCUAACUUAUGGCA
RNAcentral lists this transfer RNA (72 nucleotides) under Jenufa perforata. RNAcentral's name for it is "tRNA-Phe". It matches the Rfam family "tRNA". Rfam says of the family: Transfer RNA (tRNA) molecules are approximately 80 nucleotides in length. Their secondary structure includes four short double-helical elements and three loops (D, anti-codon, and T loops). Further hydrogen bonds mediate the characteristic L-shaped molecular structure. tRNAs have two regions of fundamental functional importance: the anti-codon, which is responsible for specific mRNA codon recognition, and the 3' end, to which the tRNAs corresponding amino acid is attached (by aminoacyl-tRNA synthetases). tRNAs cope with the degeneracy of the genetic code in two manners: having more than one tRNA (with a specific anti-codon) for a particular amino acid; and 'wobble' base-pairing, i.e. permitting non-standard base-pairing at the 3rd anti-codon position. Lineage: Eukaryota; Viridiplantae; Chlorophyta; Chlorophyceae. The record is from RNAcentral.